GAUGAACGCUGGCGGCGUGCCUAAUACAUGCAAGUCGAGCGAACAGACGAGGAGCUUGCUCCUCUGACGUUAGCGGCGGACGGGUGAGUAACACGUGGAUAACCUACCUAUAAGACUGGGAUAACUUCGGGAAACCGGAGCUAAUACCGGAUAAUAUAUUGAACCGCAUGGUUCAAUAGUGAAAGACGGUUUUGCUGUCACUUAUUGAUGGAUCCGCGCCGCAUUAGCUAGUUGGUAAGGUAACGGCUUACCAAGGCAACGAUGCGUAGCCGACCUGAGAGGGUGGUGGGCCACACGGGGAGGGAGACACGGUCCAGACGGCGACGGGAGGCAGCAGUAGGGAAUGGGAGGCAAGGGGCGAAGGGCUGACGGGGCAACGCCGCGUGAGUGAUGAAGGUGUUCGGAUCGGAAAACUCUGUUAGUAGGGAAGAACAAAGGUGUAAGUAACUAUGCACGUCUUGACGGUACCUAAUCAGAAAGCCACGGCUAACUACGUG
This 497-nucleotide ribosomal RNA is filed under the name uncultured bacterium. Its description in RNAcentral is "partial 16S ribosomal RNA". It matches the Rfam family "Bacterial small subunit ribosomal RNA", at positions 28 to 507 of the family's 1533-position model. The record is from RNAcentral.